GGAUGGGUGGACAAUCUGGCUGUGAGGUGAGUAUACCCUUCCUCCUUCACUGCUUCAUGUGUGUCUCUCUACACUGAAGAGGACAACCUUCUCCCCAAUCGAGAGAACUGGUCAUAGGUCUAGGCUCUAGGAGUAGUGGCACUCCAUGCUAGCACCUCCAAACAAGCUCUCAAGAGCCAUUUCUCUCUCUCUGGAUUUUAUUUAUUUAAAAUUUUCUAUAAUGAAUUCAUAUAACACUACUGUUUUAUUUUUUAU
This 255-nucleotide small nuclear RNA is filed under the name Erinaceus europaeus (western European hedgehog). Its description in RNAcentral is "7SK RNA". It matches the Rfam family "7SK RNA". Rfam says of the family: 7SK was discovered as an abundant small nuclear RNA in the mid-70s but a possible function has only recently been suggested. Two independent studies have found that 7SK RNA binds the CDK9/cyclin T complex (known as elongation factor P-TEFb). The record is from Rfam by way of RNAcentral. Lineage: Eukaryota; Metazoa; Chordata; Mammalia; Eulipotyphla; Erinaceidae.